Molecule: ribosomal RNA, 566 nt
Filed under: uncultured bacterium
Lineage: Bacteria
Description: partial 16S ribosomal RNA
Rfam family: Bacterial small subunit ribosomal RNA
Source: RNAcentral
UGGGGAAUUUUGGAUAAUGGGCNAAAGCCUGAUCCAGCAAUGCCGCGUGUGUGAAGAAGGCCUUCGGGUUGUAAAGCACUUUUGUCCGGAAAGAAAUCCUCUGGGUUAAUACCUCGGGGGGAUGACGGUACCGGAAGAAUAAGCACCGGCUAACUACGUGCCAGCAGCCGCGGUAAUACGUAGGGUGCAAGCGUUAAUCGGAAUUACUGGGCGUAAAGCGUGCGCAGGCGGUUUUGUAAGACGGAUGUGAAAUCCCCGGGCUUAACCUGGGAACUGCAUUCGUGACUGCAAGGCUAGAGUAUGGCAGAGGGGGGUAGAAUUCCACGUGUAGCAGUGAAAUGCGUAGAGAUGUGGAGGAAUACCGAUGGCGAAGGCAGCCCCCUGGGCCAAUACUGACGCUCAUGCACGAAAGCGUGGGGAGCAAACAGGAUUAGAUACCCUGGUAGUCCACGCCCUAAACGAUGUCAACUAGUUGUUGGGGAUUCAUUUCCUUAGUAACGUAGCUAACGCGUGAAGUUGACCGCCUGGGGAGUACGGUCGCAAGAUUAAAACUUAAAUGAAUUGAC